Molecule: ribosomal RNA, 489 nt
Filed under: Clostridioides difficile
Lineage: Bacteria; Bacillati; Bacillota; Clostridia; Peptostreptococcales; Peptostreptococcaceae
Description: bacterial LSU rRNA
Rfam family: Bacterial large subunit ribosomal RNA
Source: RNAcentral
GCGAAAGCGAGUUUUAACUGAGCGUUCAGUUACUUGACGUAGACCCGAAACCGGGCGACCUACCCAUGAGCAGGAUGAAGCGAAAGUAAAAUUUCGUGGAGGUCCGAACCCACGAGCGUUGAAAAGCUCGGGGAUGACUUGUGGGUAGCGGGGAAAUUCCAAUCGAGCCCGGAGAUAGCUGGUUCUCCCCGAAAUAGCUUUAGGGCUAGCCUCAAGGUGAGAGAUACGGAGGUAGAGCACUGAAUGUCCUAGGGGGUAUUGCACCUACCGAAGACUAUCAAACUCCGAAUGCCGUCAUCUUAUACUUGGGAGUCAGACUGUGGGUGAUAAGAUUCAUAGUCGAAAGGGCAACAGCCCAGAUCGUCAGCUAAGGUCCCUAAAUGUAAGUUAAGUGGUAAAGGAUGUGGGAUUGCACAGACAACCAGGAUGUUGGCUUAGAAGCAGCCACUCAUUCAAAGAGUGCGUAAUAGCUCACUGGUCGAGUGAUCC